ACGGAGGGUGCGAGCGUUGUCCGGAAUCACUGGGCGUAAAGGGCGCGUAGGCGGCGCGACAAGGCGGCGGUGAAAGUCCGGGGCUCAACCCCGGAUCGGCCGUGGCGACUGUCGCGCUCGAGCACAGUAGAGGCGGGUGGAAUUCCGGGUGUAGCGGUGGAAUGCGUAGAGAUCCGGAAGAACACCGGUGGCGAAGGCGGCCUGCUGGGCUGUUGCUGACGCUGAGGCGCGACAGCGUGGGGAGCAAACAGGA
RNAcentral lists this ribosomal RNA (253 nucleotides) under uncultured prokaryote. RNAcentral describes it as "partial 16S ribosomal RNA". It matches the Rfam family "Bacterial small subunit ribosomal RNA", at positions 525 to 777 of the family's 1533-position model. The record is from RNAcentral.